Molecule: ribosomal RNA, 508 nt
Filed under: uncultured Lachnospiraceae bacterium
Lineage: Bacteria; Bacillati; Bacillota; Clostridia; Lachnospirales; Lachnospiraceae
Description: partial 16S ribosomal RNA
Source: RNAcentral
CACGUAUUUAGCCGGGGCUUCUUAGUCAAGUACCGUCAUUUUCUUCCUUGCUGAUAGAAGUUUACAUACCGAAAUACUUCAUCCUUCACGCGGCGUCGCUGCAUCAGGGUUUCCCCCAUUGUGCAAUAUUCCCUACUGCUGCCUCCCGUAGGAGUUUGGGCCGUGUCUCAGUCCCAAUGGUGGCCGAUCACUCCCUCAAGUCGGCUACUGAUCGUUGCCUUGGUGGGCCCGUUACCCCUCCAACUAGCUAAUCAGACGCGGGUCCAUCUUGUACCACCGGAGUUUUUCACACUGUAUCAUGCGAUACUGUGCGCUUAUGCGGUAUUAGCAGUCGUUCCAACUGUACUCCCCCUGUACAGGCAGGUUACCCACGCGUUACCUCCACCCGUCCGCCACUCAGUCCACCUCAAUUGUUUCAAUCUCUAGCAAGCUAGGUCAAUCGAACGGGAGAGGUGACUUCGUUCGACUUGCAUGUAUUAGCUACGCCGCCGAGUCGUUACAUCCUGAC